GAUGAACGCUGGCGGCGUGCCUAAUACAUGCAAGUCGAGCGAACGGACGAUAAGCUUGCGGUUCUGAUGUGAGCGGCGGACGGGUGAGUAACACGUGUAUAACCUACCUAUAAGACGGGGAUAACUACGGGAAACCGGAGCUAAUACCGGAGAAUAUUCUGAACCGCAGGGGGCGAAAGUGAAAGACGGUCGUGCUGGCACGAAUAGAUGGAUCCGCGCUGCAUUGGCUAGUUGUGAAGGUAACGGCUUACCAAGGGAAGGAUGCAUAGCCGACCUGAGAGGGUGGUCGCCCGCACUGGAGCUGGACCGCCGUCCAGGCUCCUGCGGUAGGCACCAGACGGCAACCUUACGCAGUGGGGGAGAGCCUUGCGCAGCAGCGCCGCGUGAGUGAUGGCGGUCUUCGGAUCGUAAUACCCUGUUUUUAGUGGAGAACAUAUGUGUAAGUAACUGUGCCCAUCUUGACGGUACCUAAUCAGAAAGCCCCGGCUAACUACGUG
This 497-nucleotide ribosomal RNA is filed under the name uncultured bacterium. RNAcentral describes it as "partial 16S ribosomal RNA". It matches the Rfam family "Bacterial small subunit ribosomal RNA", at positions 28 to 507 of the family's 1533-position model. The record is from RNAcentral.